Molecule: ribosomal RNA, 465 nt
Filed under: uncultured bacterium
Lineage: Bacteria
Description: partial 16S ribosomal RNA
Rfam family: Bacterial small subunit ribosomal RNA
Source: RNAcentral
GACGAACGCUGGCGGCGUGCUUAACACAUGCAAGUCGAACGGAAAGGCCCCUUUGGGGGUACUCGAGUGGCGAACGGGUGAGUAACACGUGAGUAACCUGCCCUUGACUUCGGGAUAACUUCAGGAAACUGGGGCUAAUACCGGAUAGGAAUCCUUGCUGCAUGGUGGGGGUUGGAAAGCUUCGGCGGUUUUGGAUGGACUCGCGGCUUAUCAGGUUGUUGGUGGGGUAGUGGCUUACCAAGGCUUAGGCGGGUAGCCGGCCUGGGAGGGCGACCGGCCACAGUGGGACUGGGAUACGGCCCAGACUCCUACGGGAAGCAGCAGUGGGGGAUAUUGCACAAUGGGCGGGAGCCUGAUGCAGCAACGCCGCGGGCGGGAUGACGGCCUUCGGGUUGUAAACCGCUUUCAGCAGGGGCGAAGCUUGUGGUGACGGUACCUGCAGAAGAAGCACCGGCUAACUACGUG